UAGGGAAUCUUCGGCAAUGGACGAAAGUCUGACCGAGCAACGCCGCGUGAGUGAAGAAGGUUUUCGGAUCGUAAAACUCUGUUGUUAGAGAAGAACAAGGACGUUAGUAACUGAACGUCCCCUGACGGUAUCUAACCAGAAAGCCACGGCUAACUACGUGCCAGCAGCCGCGGUAAUACGUAGGUGGCAAGCGUUGUCCGGAUUUAUUGGGCGUAAAGCGAGCGCAGGCGGUUUCUUAAGUCUGAUGUGAAAGCCCCUGGCUCAACCGGGGAGGGUCAUUGGAAACUGGGAGACUUGAGUGCAGAAGAGGAGAGUGGAGUUCCAUGUGUAGCGGUGAAAUGCGUAGAUAUAUGGAGGAACACCAGUGGCGAAGGCGGCUCUCUGGUCUGUAACUGACGCUGAGGCUCGAAAGCGUGGGGAGCAAACAGG
RNAcentral lists this ribosomal RNA (429 nucleotides) under bacterium. RNAcentral's name for it is "partial 16S ribosomal RNA". It matches the Rfam family "Bacterial small subunit ribosomal RNA", at positions 355 to 776 of the family's 1533-position model. The record is from RNAcentral.